Molecule: ribosomal RNA, 242 nt
Filed under: uncultured bacterium
Lineage: Bacteria
Description: partial 16S ribosomal RNA
Rfam family: Bacterial small subunit ribosomal RNA
Source: RNAcentral
CGUAAAGCGCAUGCAGGUGGUUUGUUUAAGUCAGAUGUGAAAGCCCGGGGCUCAACCUCGGAAUUGCAUUUGAAACUAGGCAAACUAAGAGUACUGUAGAGGGGGGGUAGGAAUUUCAGGUGUAGCGGUGAAAUGCGUAGAGAUCUGAAGGAAUACCGGUGGCGAAGGCGGCCCCCUCGGACAGAUACUGACACUCAGAUGCGAAAGCGUGGGGAGCAAACAGGAUUAGAUACCCCUGGUAG